Molecule: long non-coding RNA, 409 nt
Filed under: Apteryx owenii (little spotted kiwi)
Lineage: Eukaryota; Metazoa; Chordata; Aves; Apterygiformes; Apterygidae
Description: lncRNA (ENSAOWG00000017656.1)
Source: RNAcentral
GGGACUUUGAACAAGCUUUUUAAUUUCUGUCCUUUUUUGUUCCUCAGCUGUAAARUGAGAAUUCUAACAGUGCUCCUGUGCCUUGUCCUGUCUGCUUGACGUUGUGAGCAUCUUGAUCAAGCGUCCAUGUGGAGCUUAGAGCAACAGAGCAGUCGGCUCUGUAGAAUUGCUGCAAUAUGGGUAUUGUAGAUUCUCCUGGGGACCUGUGCAGCAGCAAAGGAAUAACUGCGCUGAUGGCUAGGGAGAGCAGAAAGGCCUAUUUCUCCCAUGAUGGGACCAACCCUUUCUCACCAUCUUGCCUACUUGUACUGCACUGCUGGGAGGACACCAGUGAUAUGAGGUGCAGUGGUGAGUUGAAGCUGCUCCUCCCACUGCUACUGGUUUCUCCCUCUUGUGUGCAGGGCUUGAU